RNAcentral lists this ribosomal RNA (497 nucleotides) under uncultured bacterium. Its description in RNAcentral is "partial 16S ribosomal RNA". It matches the Rfam family "Bacterial small subunit ribosomal RNA", at positions 28 to 507 of the family's 1533-position model. The record is from RNAcentral.
GACGAACGCUGGCGGCGUGCCUAAUACAUGCAAGUUGAGCGCUGAAGGUUGGUACUUGUACCAACUGGGUGAGCAGCGAACGGGUGAGUAACGCGUGGGGAAUCUGCCUUUGAGCGGGGGACAACAUUUGGAAACGAAUGCUAAUACCGCAUAAAAACUUUAAACACAAGUUUUAAGUUUGAAAGAUGCAAUUGCAUCACUCAAAGAUGAUCCCGCGUUGUAUUAGCUAGUUGGUGAGGUAAAGGCUCACCAAGGCGAUGAUACAUAGCCGACCUGAGAGGGUGAUCGGCCACAUUGGGACUGAGACACGGCCCAAACUCCUACGGGAGGCAGCAGUAGGGAAUCUUCGGCAAUGGACGAAAGUCUGACCGAGCAACGCCGCGGGAGUGAAGAAGGGUUUCGGAUCGUAAAACUCUGUUGGUAGAGAAGAACGUUGGUGAGAGUGGAAAGCUCAUCAAGUGACGGUAACUACCCAGAAAGGGACGGCUAACUACGUG